Molecule: non-coding RNA, 37 nt
Organism: Actinophytocola xinjiangensis
Lineage: Bacteria; Bacillati; Actinomycetota; Actinomycetes; Pseudonocardiales; Pseudonocardiaceae
Source: Rfam
GCUGCGCCGGCCCUCCGGGACCGGCGAGGAUCGCAAC